RNAcentral lists this long non-coding RNA (3904 nucleotides) under Olea europaea subsp. europaea. The record is from RNAcentral. Lineage: Eukaryota; Viridiplantae; Streptophyta; Magnoliopsida; Lamiales; Oleaceae.
GGUGAACCAAAACCUAGGGCACGAAAUUAAUUGAAUUCCGAACCAAAUCAACGCUUCCUUCUUGCAAUAAUUCUAGCUGCUGCAUAUUGCAACCGGGCAAUGAUUUUUGGACAGGCUUGGUGGUGCAAUUUGGCGAUGCGUGAGAGGUGAACCAAAACCUAGGGCACGAAUUUAAUUUAAUUAUGCACCCUUAAAACAACGCUUCCUUCUUGCAAUAAUUCCAGCUGCUGGCAUUUUUUGGACAGGCUUCGUAGUGCAAUCCAACGACAAACCCGAAGCUCAGGCUGUAGUUGUGUAAGAACUCCUCGUUCUCGAAGAUUUGAUGCCAACGAACGGUACGUUCAUGUGGUUGUGAAGACCAAAAAUCCACAAUUCCAGAAAACAUACCCGAAGCACAUUCCUCUUUCUGUUAAAGAUCCUGCCUGAGCUCCGGCAUUGCAAUUAAGUUUCGUCCUUUAAUUUCUCCUUCUGGAGAGGUAUAACAAACUGACGUGGAAUAGGAAAACCAUUCUACCCUGCUUUGAGUGCAAUAUUGUGGGAUAAACUUUGUUAAACAUAUAAUAGAGAACUUGGAAAAAUUGAUUUUGUGUACGACAUUAUUGUCCAAAAAUCCCUGUGUACCUAGCGAAAUUUCAGAAAACCUUCAAAAAUAUGCUUCGACCACCGAAAUUAGUUGGGUUGCUAAAUAUGGCUUUAAAUGGAUCAGACUUGGACCGCCCGUUUUUGUUCUCAUUAUAUUUGAAUACUUUGGUUUUGGGUUGGGAUAUCAUAUAAUGAUGAUGAUAAAAGAAAGAAGUAAUCAGAUGCUUCCUUCUUGAAUUCCUAGCAGGAUUGAUUAUUGUAGUAUUAAUUUGAUGAAUAUUUAUGAAAUACGGCUUACAAUUAUACUUGCAUCUAAAUACACAAUUGCCACUGCUAUUUCACACGGUUUUCCAAUACCUUUCUAAAAUAUUAACGCUAACUGAUUUCUAUGGCGCUAUAUUUUAAUUGCAAUAAAAAAAUUUAAUUUUUUUUUUAUUAUAAUAGUUGUAUUUCAACUAAUUUUUUUUCCUUGUCAACUUUUUAUUAAUGAACACUUAUUCUGCUUUAUGAUACUUUUUUUUUAUUAAAUAUUCUAUUAGUAUAAUUUGAGAUGAUGAUGAUGAUAAAAGAAAGAAGUAAUCAGAUAGGAUUCACACAUGGAGACAUAAAUAUAAAUUGGCAAACUUUGAUUACGAUCCGGAAAUAUUUCUCCCAUAUAGUAUACAGUAGGUACAUAUUUAAGUUAGUGAAGUUGGCACUUCAUAAGACUAGGCUUCCGCUCCUGCUUUUCGUAGAUAUAUAUUAAAGUUAGUGGAGUUGCCACUUCGAAGUGUAGGCUUCAAGCUCCUGGUGUUCGUAUUGAAUGUCAUUUGUUUUACCCAUGAUUCUUAUUGAUUGUCGUUUGUUUUCUAUUGAGGAUUUAAACCUAAUCUACCUCGUUUAUGUGACUUUUUGUUUACUUGUGUAACAACUACUAUGGACGAAGUGCAGAUCGACCAUGAUGAUGUGUUGGCUGAAUCCGAUUAUGAGAAUGUUACGGUCUCCGUUAACGUUGUGGAUGGUGAAAACUCAGUGGGGGAUGGUGUGAUUGUGCCUGAGGUAGGCAUGGAGUUUAAGGAGUUAAAAGACAUGUUUGUCUUCUACAAGAAAUCCGCUUAUGCAAUUAGAUUUCCAAUUAAGAAAAGGAAUUCGAAAAAGGGGGAUGACGGAGAGUUAAGAUAUGUAACCUUCACAUGUAGCCGUGAAGGUCAAAGAAUCGGUAAUAGUAGCGGUUCCUUCAAGCCCUAACCAACAAUACAGAUGGGUUGCAAAGGCAGGAUAUCUGCAUCAUCAGAUGUUCAUGGGGGUAUGGAGAAUUAACAAGGUCCACCUCGACCACAAUCACGAAACUAGUCCAUCGAAAUCUAGGUUAUAUCGAUGUAACCGAGAAUUGAGUUCACACGUGAACAUAAGCUUGAAGUCAAUGAUUUAGCUGGAAUUCCGUUGCAUAAAAGUUUCAAUUCUGUCGUUGUCGAAGCAGGUGGUUAUGAGAACUUGAGUUGCAUUGAGAAAGAUUGUCGAAACUAUGUUGAAAAAGUUAGGCGUUUAAGACUUGGUGAAGGGGAUGUCGUUGCAAUACAAGCAUACUUUGCAAAGAUGCAAACACAUUGCUCGGGAUUUUACUUUAGCAUGGAUUUAGCUGAUGAAUCCCGACUAAAAAAGUCUUCUGGGCCGAUAAUCGGUGCAGGCAAGCGUAUAAGGAAUUCGACGAUGUUGUUACUUUUGAUACCACGUACCUGACAAACAAGUAUGACAUGCCGUUCGCCCCGUUUGUUGGCGUCAAUCAUCAUGGACAGUCAACAUUACUUGGUUGUGGGUUGUUGUCGAGCGAAGAUACAGAUAAUUUUAUCUGGUUGUUCAAAAUAUGGCUACAAUGUAUGCAUGGUCAAGCACCUCAUGGAAUAAUUACCGACCAAGAUCGGGCCAUGCAAAAUGCCAUUCAAAUCAUUUUUCCAAACACAAGGCAUAGAUGGUGUCUAUGGCAUAUUUUAAAGAUGGUGCCUGAAAAAUUUGGGUACCAUGAUGACAAGUCUUCGAUAUUUGGUGCUACACAUGUAUUAGUUUAUGAUUGUCAAUUUGUUGAAGAAUUUGAGAAUGGGUGGGCUGCGAUGAUUGACAAGUACAACUUGCAGGAUAAUGAAUGGUUAUUUGGGUUGUAUGAGAACAGAAGUCGUUAGGUUCCAUGUUUUUUUAAGACCACUUUUUGGGCAGGGAUGUCGAUGAUAGAGAGGAGCGAGAGUAUGAAUGCGUUCUUUGAUGGUUACGUGCAUUCGAAGACCACGCCGAAGCAAUUUGUAGAACAGUACGAAGUAGCACUGCGAUGUAAGGUAGAGAAAGAGUUCCAGGCUGAUUUCAAAUCUUUUUCGCAAAUGGUCCCAUGUGCAAUGCAAUGCGAAAUUGAGCUACAAUUUCAGUCAGUUUAUACCAUUGCAAAAUUCAGGGAAGCUCAGGAUGAGUUCACGGGGAAGGUUUACUGCAAUGUCAUAUCUACUUUGGAAAGAGAUACGUUGACGAUGUAUGAGGUGCGCGAGGAUGUUAUGCAUGAGGGGCGACGAAGGAAAAAAACAUUCUUCGUCUCAUUUGAGAGAGAGAACUAUGACAUCGUUUGUAGUUGCCAUUUGUUUGAGUUUAGGGGAAUUCUUUGUCGCCAUUCAAUUACAGUUCUUAUUCAUUGCGAUGUCACAUCCCUUCCGAAGAGGUACAAACUGCGGAGAUGGAGAAGAGACGUUAGUGGGGCACAUACCAGAGUCGCCGUAAAUUAUGAUGGUUUGAUCAGCUCUCCUAAGCAAUUGAGAUAUGAUGAACUGUGUCAUGAGUUUGCAAAACUGGCUGACCUUGCUGCAGAUGACGAAGGGCGGUCGCGUGUGAUACUGGAUUGGAUAAAACUUCAGUGCAAAGAUCUUUCGAUGUUGAAAAUGUCGCACAGUGGAAGCAAUGUGAUCGCACAUCAUACUAUUCAAGUAGCCGAUCAGUGUACCAACUCCCAGAACGAUGCCAGCGUGAAAAUAAGAGAUUCGAAAUUGUCGCGUAGAAAGGGAGCGCCCAAAAAACUGAGGACAAAAGGUCCACUGGAGUCGAGUUCGAAGAACACAAAGGUAAAUUUGAUUUAAUUUAUUAAAAAAACACAUAUCCAAAUAUUUGAUUGUAAUGAAUACUUUCACACUACAUAAAUUUACAGUCAGCAUCAAGCAAAGGAAGGAGACCUAUUGGACGACAUACUGGUACACAAGAGAGCACUGUCCACGUUCAUGAAGCUCAAAAACAAAACUACUCAAUGCAGCCUCCGCCUCCUUGCCUACAAUAUUCGAUGCCAUCAACAUUUCCCGUCUCACAGUAUACUUUU